UCUUCUUUUUCUUUUUAUUUUUUUUU
RNAcentral lists this unclassified non-coding RNA (26 nucleotides) under Trypanosoma rotatorium. Lineage: Eukaryota; Euglenozoa; Kinetoplastea; Trypanosomatida; Trypanosomatidae. The record is from RNAcentral.